ACAUGAAUUACUUUGAGAUCUUGUUAAAAUGCAGUGUCUGAUCAAGGAGACUUGGAGUCCAAAUAUUUUGCAUUUCUAACAAGCUCCCAGGUGAUGCUAUC
RNAcentral lists this microRNA precursor (101 nucleotides) under Marmota monax (woodchuck). The record is from RNAcentral. Lineage: Eukaryota; Metazoa; Chordata; Mammalia; Rodentia; Sciuridae.